This 69-nucleotide transfer RNA is filed under the name Myotis davidii. It matches the Rfam family "tRNA". Rfam says of the family: Transfer RNA (tRNA) molecules are approximately 80 nucleotides in length. The record is from Rfam by way of RNAcentral. Lineage: Eukaryota; Metazoa; Chordata; Mammalia; Chiroptera; Vespertilionidae.
GCCCGUGUGGCUCAGUAGAGUGUCGGCCUGUGGACCGAAGGGUCCCCAGUUCAAUUCCGGUCAAGGGCA